AAAGCCUGACGGAGCAACGCCGCGUGAGUGAAGACGGCCUUCGGGUUGUAAAGCUCUGUUAUAGGGGACGAACGGCCGGGUAGCGAAGAGGUAGCCGGCAUGACGGUACCGUAUGAGAAAGCCACGGCUAACUACGUGCCAGCAGCCGCGGUAAUACGUAGGUGGCAAGCGUUGUCCGGAAUGAUUGGGCGUAAAGGGCGCGCAGGCGGCUGUGUAAGUCUGUCCAGAAAGUGCGGGGCUAAACCCCGUGAGAGGAUGGAAACUGGACAGCUGAGAGUGUCGGAGAGGAAAGCGGAAUUCCUAGUGUAGCGGUGAAAUGCGUAGAUAUUAGGAGGAACACCGGUGGCGAAAGCGGCUUUCUGGACGACAACUGACGCUGAGGCGCGAAAGCCAGGGGAGCAAACGGGAUUAGAUACCCCGGUAGUCCUGGCCGUAAACGAUGGGUACUAGGUGUAGGAGGUAUCGACCCCUCCUGUGCCGGAGUUAACGCCAUAAGUACCCCGCCUGGGGAGUACGGGCGCAGGCUGAAACUCAAGGAAUGACGGGGGCCGCACAGCGUGAGUUGUGUUAAUC
Molecule: ribosomal RNA, 573 nt
Filed under: Megasphaera geminata
Lineage: Bacteria; Bacillati; Bacillota; Negativicutes; Veillonellales; Veillonellaceae
Description: bacterial SSU rRNA
Rfam family: Bacterial small subunit ribosomal RNA
Source: RNAcentral